Molecule: ribosomal RNA, 253 nt
Filed under: uncultured bacterium
Lineage: Bacteria
Description: partial 16S ribosomal RNA
Rfam family: Bacterial small subunit ribosomal RNA
Source: RNAcentral
UACGAAGGGGGCUAGCGUUGCUCGGAAUCACUGGGCGUAAAGCGCACGUAGGCGGAUUCUUAAGUCAGGGGUGAAAUCCUGGAGCUCAACUCCAGAACUGCCUUUGAUACUGAGGGUCUUGAGUUCGGGAGAGGGAUGCGGAAUUCCAGGUGUAGCGGUGAAAUGCGUAGAUAUCUGGAGGAACACCGGUGGCGAAGGCGGCAUCCUGGACCGACACUGACGCUGAGGAGCGAAAGCCAGGGGAGCAAACGGG